GAUGAACGCUGGCGGCGUGCCUAAUACAUGCAAGUCGAGCGAACGGACGAGAAGCUCGCUUCUUUGAUGUUAGCGGCUGACGGGCGAGUAACACGUGGAUAACCUACCUAUUAGUCUGGGAGAAUUUCGGGAAACCGGAGCUAAUACCGGCUAAUAUGUCGUACCGCAUGGUUCAAAAGUUAAUCACGGCUUUCCUGUCACUUUUAGAUGGAUCCGCAUUGGAUUAGCUAGUUGGUAAGGUAACGGCAUACCAAGGCUACGAUGCAUAGCCGAACUGAUAGGGUGAUCGGCCACACUGGAACUGAGACACGGUCCAGACUCCUACGGGAGGCAGCAGUAGGGAAUCUUCCGCAAUGGGCGAAAGCCUGACGGAGCAACGCCGCGUGAGUGAUGAAGGUCUUCGGAUCGUAAAGCUCUGUUGUUAGGGAAGAAAAGAUGUGUAAGUAACUGUGGACGUCUUGACGGUACCUAAACAGUAAGCCACGGCUAACUACGUG
This 497-nucleotide ribosomal RNA is filed under the name uncultured bacterium. RNAcentral describes it as "partial 16S ribosomal RNA". It matches the Rfam family "Bacterial small subunit ribosomal RNA", at positions 28 to 507 of the family's 1533-position model. The record is from RNAcentral.